UCAGGUAUCUCGUGGGACUUCAUCCUGGCAUGUGUUUGUAGAAGUUCAUGAUGAAGCAGAAAAUUGAAUCCUUGCACCUGGGGGACUGUGUUAGCACCUUAUCAGCCAAGCAGUUUUAUUUACCACAUGUUCCUGCUUAUGGUUUCUGGAGAAUCUGGAAGAAAGGAGGAAAGUGGUGGUUAUGAAAAGGGAUGUUCUCCAGGUUGGUGAGAUUGGCUCGCGCUCUGUUACCACAUCGCCUCUUCCUGGCAGAAUGGACACACUGGUGGUAUUCCUUGACUUUCUUGAGCUCCCAUAUUAACUCUGGAUGUCACAUUCAGCAGUGGAUUGUGAAAUGCUUGAAAACAGGAAUCAUAGGAGCAUUAUUUAAUGCUAAGUGUUAUCCACAUCAUAUCUGAAGCUUGAACAUGCCAGGAAAGCAUCCUUCACAUUCUGCAGCUAAUCUGUCCGGGCUUUCAGGAUCAAUCGUAAAUUGGCCGGAGGCAGCGUGAACCCCAUAUAGAAGUGCUGCUCAGAUGACCAGCCUUACGACAUGUCUGCUGUCUGACUGCUUGGCUUGACACUAAGGCCACCCUUGCCACUUGUAUUGGUCUCAGAUUCUUCUUCAAAUUGCCAGCACCUUCAGGACUUUUCUCCCAAAUGAGUCUCCAGCGGAAUUCCACCGAGGGCAGAGUUUGUCUGAUCCUGCUGAUGGUCGGGUGUCUCCUCACCUCCCUGGGGUCCCUCCAAGUGAGAGCUGAGCACACCAGCACAAGAAGUUGCUGCCUUCUCUGCCAUGCCUGACUUGUGUCUAAACUAAGAGCUGAGAGCACGGAGGUUAAAGGCUCCCUUGUGGCUUUUUGUUUGUCCUAUAACAUACACUCCUUUCUCCGUCUCUUCUCUGUCCUUCUGAAUCAGCAGAUCAUUGUGCUUUGCCUUUUUUUGGUCCCUACCCUCUAUUGAAAGAUGUCUGAAUUCAAGGGAUGUGCCUUGCAUCAGGAGAUCAGUAAGGUUUGUUCAGUGUCCCUUCUGGAGCACCUUUUUUCUGAUACCACGACUUACACUUCAGAUUGUGGUUUGUAUUACUGCUUGUCCUUUACAUAUACUUUGUUUCCUCCUUCAUGUGAGGGAGAACAUUUUUUCCUAUUAAGUGAUUCCUCAUCCCAGGAUUUAAAUAGAUUGGCAAUUUUUCUUUUUUACCAGCACUAAAUUCUCACAAAAUAACAGAAAACCAGGCCUAUACACUGUCAAACUGACACUCUCACAGUGUGAUGACCCUCUUUCUGUCACCUGCCACAUUUUUCAUGUUCAACCUACAGCUGUGAAACUGUUUUUUCUUCCUCGCUUCCAACAACAAAGUCCAAAGAACACUCAUCAGUUUGAUGCCUGUCUCAAUUUGCAGAACAUCCUUGGGACAGAAAUAACAUUGAGAGAAGAGUCUUCUUGAAAGCAGUAGGAGCCUUUCAUUGCCGGCUCCUCCAGUGGUCUGAGAUAGUAACAGCCAUGCUGUAAACUUCAUUUAAUUUGUAUAGGCCUGUUCCAGAGCCGCCUCAUUGACUUCAGGGGGCAUUGGAUCAGGCUGUAUGUUAGCUACAGCAGCGCUUUAUGACUCAGUAUCACUGCUUUGGAACAGUCUCUGUCAGAUCAGUCAAAUUUUCCAUUGAAACAUUCUGUGAGGGGAAUGAGAAAUGUUGUUCAGCUAGCUGCCUAAGAAAAAUGUCUGAUUUUUCACUUUAUUUUUUUUUUUCUUUCGCAAAGAACUUUCCCCUCCACCAGUAGAAACUUCUGGGUUUCAGGUGGGACACUCUGAGUGUCUUAUAAAGAGUUGAAAAUACCUGCUGAAAACUGAAUUUUUAACAGCCAGUCCUGCUCAUGUUUGCGUGUUCUUUAUAGCCCUUCCAUCCAUUUCCAUGAUGUUACCUGAAAUGAGAGGAAACAGAUUUUUCAGAAGUAAAAUUUGCAGACCACAUUUCCAGUUAAUCUUCCAUAAUAGCAGUUGCUAUUGUAUGACUCAGUGACCUGUGACUAAAUAACUAUAAUAGUAGAAUCAUUUUAGCCUAACAGCAUAAAAAUCAAAGUUAAAGCUGUGACUGUAAAGCAGUAUUUGUUACAUGCUGAACAUAUACUUUAUUAGAGAAAAGGAGGCUUUGUUUGCAUUGCCAAGCUAAAGUAUAUACUUACCUCUUUGCAUGUAAAUGAUUUCCAAAAGUUGCAUUUUUGCUUGUAUUUUUUCUGUUUUCAGAACUCAAACAUGAGUUCUGUGAUCUGGCGUGUGUUUCCUCUUGGUUCUUUUAUGUGUGGAAAUGAUUACAGGUGUGAAGCUGAUCUAUCCAUAUAACACAUCUACUGUUGCUCUGACCUCAUUCCUUAUCUACUCCAGGGUUUUAGUUGUUGAUCCAUCCGUCUUGCACCUAAUGGUAUUUCAUGUCAGGACUAAUGGGAUUAUUUUCUCUUCAUACAGAGUAGCUUUUUGGUCACAGUUUUCUUCCAACCUUCUCCUUUAACUAUUAGGGAGAUGUGCAGACCUACAGAAAGACUUCAGCCAGCAGGAGAAGAAUAUGUAUCUGAGCACUGGCAGAAGCAGACAAGUGCAUAGUGAAGUGCAAGAAACUGUGAAUAGAAAUGCUGAAGUAUCCCUUAAUAUCCAUCUGAUUAUCUUUCACCCUAAUGACAGGGAAAGAUAGAAGGGCUGAUCUGAGCAAAUAUAGGUAGAGGUAGGUGGAGCUUUAUCUUGUGUAAGUCGACAGAUCUUCAAUGUCUUCAUGGGAGCUAUGAAAACCCCUACUGGUCUCCCUAGAAACUUAGAGUUUCACUUCUUUGAUGGAGUUAUGACUAAACAAGGAGAAGUUGAGAUGGAGUAGACUGAAGUUACAGAGCACACCGUGGCACACAGUGGUGAAAUCAGCUCAUUAGCAGAAAGAACUUCCUUCAUCUCAGUACUCAGAAAAAGAAAAGAAGUAAAUAAUAAAUUGUUGUCAGUUUACGGUUUUGCUCUUCUCCUCUUGUUGGUUUUCUCCCCCUUUGUUCUAGGAAUUCUAUAGUCGUGUUCUGAGGAAUAAUCAAUUAAUGCUUAGAAAGCAAUUAUAAUGAUUCCCACUUUACACAUGAAUAAACAGAACGUAGUUUAGGUGCCUGAGUCACAAUCGUUUUCUGAGUCUGAUCGGGCAUGGACAGCAAUAAAGAGCCUGUCUCAGCACUUGUGCUCUAAUUGCUAUUUUGCCAGGAAAGUUGGGAUCGGAGAUCAAACAGACAGAAAUGAGUUAUGAAGCUCUCUGAAUGUAAAUUGCAGGGCACUUCGUGAAAAAAAAAAGAAGCCAUUCAGUUUAUUCUGUAGUGAUUUCAUAAGUAUUACAUGGCAAAGGCACGAUUUGCUUGAGGUUUCACUGGAUGACUGAGAGUUGCACCAAGGAGAGGACCUGGGAGUUGUGAUGUUAGUGCUGUGCUGUGCGUAACCACACACCCAUCCUUCUUGCUUCUUGAUACUUGAUAUUUUAAUAUAUUACAGAGUACCUUAUCAUAUUAGUCUGUAUGUAAUCCUUUCUUACGUGUUCAGUCUGAAACAUGGUUAAUGUAAAAUUGUCUUUUUCAUGUGUGUCAUAGCUCAUAAUCUCUUGCUUUUAUAGGAGAAGUCAAAACCUCAAUUCACACGACUGGUCUGGUACUAUAAUCGCUCAUGGAUGCUAUUCAUAGUUUUCCAUAUCCACUCUGUGACUUUUGUACUAUGUGGUGUGAUAGAAGAGGACAUCUUACAAGGGUCACUUUAUCUCUCUUUUCUCCUCCAGCGAUGAAGAUGUUACAGCAAUGCAAAACCAGGUCAGAAUGAAUUUUCCUCUGUUCUGAGGACAUGUUGUUGUUGUUUGAAAACUCUCAGAGACCAUAGAACUGCAGAAGAACAAGCACAAGCCUUGCUAUCCUACUUCAUGUCCAAUCAGCCAAAUGAGCAAGCCAGCUUUUGAGUCCUCCAGGGUCAUUUUAUUUUUAGGGCUGAUGCCUGAAGCAGGAAGAAAACAGCAUGAUCUGUAGGUUCUGCUUUGAGCUUCCAGUGCUGGCAGCAAAAAAUAACUUAUUUUGACAUGCAAGCUGAGUUUAACCAAUGGAAAAAAACCAUAUAGGCCAGUUUUCCCUCUGUUUUGUGCUGUUAAUCUACGCUCAAAUCAAGCUGAAGCAGGGGCAGGAAGCCUGACAAUACCUCCCCUUGUCUAAUGCCAGCCGUCGCAUUUGGAGCGCCUUGGCUUCCCAAGGGCGAUCUUAUCAGGAGAAGUCGUCUUAAAAAUAAGUUUAGAUGAAGGAAAAAGAAAGUUAAAACAAAAUCCCUGCUUAUCUUACGACACUGAAAUAUCCUUACUGGGACAAAGCAAGAUACCUUAUGAUGCAUGCACGUAGAAGUGGAGAUUCAGUGGAAAAAACGACCCAGCUUUGCUUUGAGCCUUCCAUUCAUGAGAUUAUUUUUGCUCCAUGUGCUGUGUUCCCUGCGCUCCCAUGUGCAGGUCUGUCCGGCUUGGCACGGCUCUGGUCAGGAGUGUUGCAUGCUGGAGUGACUGGAGCUAUAUGGAAAACUUGGGGCUGAUGCUUCAUGUAUGAACCUGUAACAGAUGCCAUAUAGUCAAAAGCCAUCAGCGAGAGAGGCCUGCAAACAUCACUGUAUGUGAUGUCUUACGACGUCAAGAACUCAAGGCAUCCUGUAAGCACAAGGUCUAGCAGGACUCCUCCAGUGGCCUUUGCUGACAUCCAUGGAGGUUUUGUCUUUCUGGGCACUGUGCUCUGGAAGAUCGCUGCUUUGCCCUGGUCGGAAGGGCUGUUGGUCAGAUGGCGUGAAUUCUGCAGUUGAUUUAUAAAUCGGAACAGAAUCAGAACCCAACUCCAGCUUAAUAACAUUAACGUGACGUUACGCAGUGCCGUUCCUCCCCGGCGAGGCAGCGCACAGUGCUGACGUACCCGAGCCCUCUGCGGUGGAGCCAGCUCACGACUUGCGAAGGGCCUUGAACUUCUGGUGGUGACUUUGACUUACGAGAGAAAGCGUUGAAAAGGAGAAAAGACUAUAUUUUAUGAGUGAUGGUUAAAAGAAAAGAAUAUGCAUUUCCUAAGGGGUGGACCAACCUUUUUAUAAAAGAAAAUACAGAGAACAUAAAAGGCUUGAUUUGAUGGUAUCAAUGACAUCAAAGCUCCUAGGUCAGUACAGCUGGAAUCCACUGCCAAGUCGAAGAUCCUCAGAACAGCCCCCAGAAUAUGCUCUCUGAUAUUCUGCACAGCGCAUCCUAUUCACAGGUCUGCGUUUCUGAAGAUUUGCCCCUGUAUGCCUGCAAGAAACAUAGAGAAGAAUACAACCUUUGGAAGGUUAUGCCUAAGAAUAUGCCUAUGAAGGGAAAAGUAAGAGCACUGAGUAACUGAACGGGUUGAUCUGUCCCUCACCAGACAUCACCGUCUCUCCAUAAGGAGACGAGGCAACUGGCAGAAGGCAUCACUGUCAUCCCAAGAAAUCUCUUUCCUCUACAACUGAAGAUUUUAAGAAAUGAGUCUGAUUUGCCCUGAUCUACACCAAGAUAAAUCCAUACGUUGGAAAGUGGACAUAGGAAGAAAUCACUGGCGCUGCAGGAGACCUCUGGAGUCAUACUGGUUGCAGUGGGAGACAUCGAUGCACAGGGACAAAGCAGUAUUUGCUGUAGCUGCAGGAAUGGAGCUUCAGGUACCGGGAGGCCUCUGGAGGCCAGGCUGGCAUCAGCCCCCUUUGUUUUAGUCCGGAGACUGAGGGAGUGCAAAGAUAUUGUAAAAUUACGCUUACCCUUGGGAUUUGAUUCUGGAGCACGUGUGUUUCACUGAGAUUAGAAUUACAAGGUCACUCACUUCUGAUUUACACCAGAAACAGGCCCAAAUAAGAUCAAACGAGAUCAGUACCUUGUUCGACAAAUAGCGUUCUGCUUAUUUUUGCUAUUAGAGAUGAGUCAAGAGGAAAAAAGUGCAGCAGAAAGGGGUCAAAAUACCCUGAGGCUAAAUUGAAACCGGAGGCAGUCCAUGUUAAAAACUUGGGCGUACCUAAAGUUAGUACAUUCAGAUCUACUCUUAUAGAUACCUAAACCCAGAUCCUCAAGGCUGCCUUGUUGGCAAGCUCCCGCUCGGGUGCUUCCCUCCCAUUGAUAACACCACGCGCUAAUUCAGGCACCCGAGUUUUGAAGUGAUGUUCGUACUAUGAAGAACAGUUGGUCUUAAGGGAAAACAUUUACAUAAUGACAGCUAUUUUCAGGAAAAUGAAAAGUACUGGGUGAAAAAGGUUUUGACAUUGCGUGAAAUAUGGGAUUUACACACAGUAGUUUUCACCGUGUGUAUAUAAAUGGGUGAUUUACCAUAUAUUGAUUCACACACCAUUUGUAAGUGUCUAAUUUAUUUAUUUGUAGAGAUGUAUGGAAACCCUGGUUUGAAAAGCAGUUUGCAUAACAUCUGGUAUGUCAACAAUGUAACCUUUCAAUUUACUUGUUGGUGAAAAUGUCAAUAUAAUGAACCUGAACUCAGCAUUGGUUUACACAAAUUUCCUGGCAGACAAAGCAGUAAUGAUUUGCAUGUCAGUGUAAGUGACACGUGCCCUCCAGUUUUGAAUUGUUUAUAUGACAAAGAGGUAUGAAAGGAAUCAAGCACAUUGCUGGUUACUUACAGACUUGUGCUGGCAGUAUAAACUGCAUGUAUUUGUAUAGUGUGAAACACUGUCUCAUUUUGACUUCCAGUUUUUCAGAAAUGGCCUUUGAUUUUUCCCUGAAAUGGCUUUUUUUUUUUUUUUUUUUGAUACACAGAAGAAAAGAGUAAAAUUGUAGCCCUGAAGGUGACUUUAGAUCCUGGUACUAUGCAGUCCCUGAGCCUUUCCUGGGUACAUAUUGUUUCAAUUACUUUUAAAAUUUAUAUGCUUUCUAUAGACAAAGAUGUUGUACUUGGAUAUACUGAUACUUGGAGAGGAAUCUAGUAGACUCUUGAUUGCUGUUAAAAAUAUACCAACAGCAAUGACAACAAUAAUACAUUGUUUUCACCUCUUAGAUUACUGCCCUUAUGAGAUAGGUCACAUAAAUUAUAUGGCCUUUUUUUUCACUCUGUGACUUGUUGCCUCAAACUUUUGGAGCAGAAAAAUAAUAAUUGCUUCUAAUACAGAAUAGCAACAAACUCACUUUGAGAGCAGAAUCAAAGUCCAUUGAUGCCAUCAGAUGUUCCUCCUGAAUUUUAGAGGGUUUAGGCCUGUAUAGAGAAGUUCACUGCCUAACUCAUGUCUCCAAACUACGUGUGUGAGAAGGUGGGAGACCUGCUCUUAAAAAAAUGCAUCCCAACCCAUCAGUCAGCCUUGCGUUGCAGUAGGUGCUGCGCCACCGCCUGACGCCCGCCAGCCUCGACGAUGCCGCUCGCGGCCAGCUUCGCUCCCCUCCGUGUGCCUUUGCAGGAAGGGUGCUGGGUUGACAGAGCAGGUUAUCUCCUUCCGUUUCUCUUCCUUCCUUUCCUCCCCUUGUUCUCCACCCCAAAGAUCUGCUUUGCGGUUUGGAUUUCAAUCAAGUUACCAAAAAAGAAAAAAGAAACAAGUAGGGGAGGGAGGAGGGAAGGAGAUAGUUACUUAACUAGCUAGUAUAUGCCUUUUCUUUUUCCUUUCUUUCUUUCUUUCCUUUUUUUUUUUUUUUAAUUUUAAAGACCAGAUGCUAUCUGUUUCCCAUUGUUCUGCCCACACUAUCCGGUUUGGAUCUGAUUUUGGGUGGCGUAUGUCUGUACGUGUGAGGGAGAGGGUCACAGCGAAGGCAGUGUGUGUCUGUUACUAUCUGACAGCUUUAAAAAAAUUAAAGCCAUGUACGACCCCACAGUCACAGCUAAGAAAAAGUAAUUUCACAAGGCUUUCCAGAGCUUUUAAUUUUGCAGGAGAGUUUCUAAUAUAUAGUCUGAAUAAAUAGACUGAACCAAUGAUAA
This is a long non-coding RNA of Dromaius novaehollandiae (emu), 7902 nucleotides long. RefSeq lists it as uncharacterized. The record is from RefSeq and is a predicted model, not a curated record. The transcript is spliced from 17 exons. NCBI's taxonomy places the organism in Eukaryota, Metazoa, Chordata, Aves, Casuariiformes, Dromaiidae.